AUACGGAGGGUGCAAGCGUUAAUCGGAAUUACUGGGCGUAAAGCGCACGCAGGCGGUCAAUUAAGUCAGAUGUGAAAGCCCCGAGCAUAACUUGGGAAUUGCAUCUGAAAAUGGUUGGCUAGAGUCUUGUAGAGGGGGGUAGAAUUCCACGUGGAGCGGUGAAAUGCGUAGAGAUGUGGAGGAAUACCGGUGGCGAAGGCGGCCCCCUGGACAAAGACUGACGCUCAGGUGCGAAAGCGUGGGGAGCAAACAGGAUUAGAUACCCUGGUAGUCCACGCUGUAAACGAUGUCGAUUUAGAGGUUGUGGUCUUGAACUGUGGCUUCUGGAGCUAACGCGUUAAAUCGACCGCCUGGGGAGUACGGCCGCAAGGUUAAAACUCAAAUGAAUUGACGGGG
Molecule: ribosomal RNA, 396 nt
Filed under: uncultured bacterium
Lineage: Bacteria
Description: partial 16S ribosomal RNA
Rfam family: Bacterial small subunit ribosomal RNA
Source: RNAcentral